RNAcentral lists this microRNA precursor (96 nucleotides) under Oryza meridionalis. RNAcentral describes it as "pre miRNA mir-160". It matches the Rfam family "mir-160 microRNA precursor family". From Rfam's summary of the family: The hairpin precursors (represented here) are predicted based on base pairing and cross-species conservation -- their extents are not known. In this case the mature sequence is excised from the 5' arm of the hairpin. Lineage: Eukaryota; Viridiplantae; Streptophyta; Magnoliopsida; Poales; Poaceae. The record is from Rfam by way of RNAcentral.
AUAUGCCUGGCUCCCUGUAUGCCGCUCGCAUGGCUGCCAACCCAAUGAACUCUCGCUGUUGGCCGCUGCGUACGGCGUGCGAGGUGCCAAGCAUGG